This 541-nucleotide long non-coding RNA is filed under the name Homo sapiens (human). RNAcentral's name for it is "HSALNT0182704". The record is from RNAcentral. Lineage: Eukaryota; Metazoa; Chordata; Mammalia; Primates; Hominidae.
GAAAAAUUCACAUACCAUAAGGAUGCAGUUUAAUAAAUACUCGUCUGAUCAAGAAACAGAACAUUACGAGCACCCCAGAAACCACCUCUGUGCUCCUCUCUUCCAGCUUUUCCAAACGGUGUCGAGUGUUCAGCUGUGGACAGACAUACAGAUCUGGAAGUCAUCAGCAGAGGGUAAUAUGAGACAGGAGAGUAGACAAUAUUUUGGAGUGCAUAAGUAGAAAGCCGAGAGAAGAAGACUGAGGCUAGAACCCUGAGGAAUAUCCAACGUUUGCCCUUGAAGGAGACUGAGAAGUAGCCAGAAGUUGGAGGAAGAUCGGAAGGAUGAUGUGUCUUCAAAGAAGGAAAAUGAGUGUUUCAAGGAGUUAGCUGUCCCCUGUGUCAAGUAAAAAGAGACUGAAAAAUGUUCAUCAAAUUUAACAACUGCUGGUUUGAUCUAUUCAAGAAUGUUGUGGCAUAUAUAAGGCUGUUCAAGACGCAUGGUGCCAGCAUCUACUUCUCGUGAGGACCUCAGGGAGCUUCCACCCAUGGCAAAAAGCCAG